AAUGUCAGCGAUAACUAUAAUCGUUCUAAGGUACCGAAAUCCCUUGGCAUGUAAGUUAUGUCCCGCAGGAAUGGCGCAACGACUGGGGGACUGUCUCAACGAGGAGCCCGGUGAAAAUGCAGUGGUGGUGAAGAUGCCCCCUACCUGCGGCAAGACGAAAAGACCCCGGAAGCUUUACUGCAACUUGAUAUUGGCUUAAGGUUCUGGAUGCGUAGAAUAGGUGGGAGGCUUUGAAGUUCGCCUUUCGGGGCGGAUGGAGCCGUCAGUGAAAUACCACUCUUUCAGGACUUUAAAUCUAACCCCGAUGAUGAAAACGCCGGGGGACAGUGUCUGGCGGGCAGUUUUGGUGGGGCGCUAUCCUCCUAAAAUGUAACGGAGGAGUUUAUUAAGGUCGGCUAACUCCGGAUGGAAAUCGGAGUGAUAGGGUAAAGCCAUAAGCCGGCUUGACUGCAAGGCGUAUAUGCCGCGCAGCUACGAAAGUAUAACUUAGUGAACCGAUGGUUCUUUGUAGAAAGGCCAGAGAUUAUCAGACAAAAGCUACUCCGGGGAUAACAGGCUAGUCGCAUCCAAGAGUCCAUAUCGACGAUGCGGUUCGGCACCUCGAUGUCGGCUCAUCUUAUCCUGGGGCUGGAGAAGGUCCCAAGGGUUUGGCUGUUCGCCAAUUAAAAAGGUACGUGAGCUGGGUUCAAACCGUCGUGAGACAGGUUGGUCUCUAUCUGCCGCAGGCGUUGAUGCUUGAGGGAAGUCGCUCCUAGUACGAGAGGACCGGAGUGAACGAACCUCUGGUGUACGAGCUGUCCCGCCCGGGGCAUUGCUCGGUAGCUAUGUUCGGAAGGGAUAAGCGCUGAAAGCAUAUAAGCGCGAAGCCCCUCCCAAGAUUAGGCAUCGUUUAGAUCCGUGGGAGAUGACCACGUUGAUAGGCUGCAGGUGUAAGUCCGGCAACGGAUUAAGCCAAGCAGUACUAAUAGAUCGAAAUCU
This 978-nucleotide ribosomal RNA is filed under the name Candidatus Azambacteria bacterium. Its description in RNAcentral is "bacterial LSU rRNA". It matches the Rfam family "Bacterial large subunit ribosomal RNA", at positions 1926 to 2925 of the family's 2925-position model. The record is from RNAcentral. Lineage: Bacteria; Candidatus Azamiibacteriota.